AUGGUACCAAUCAGCUUAGGCUAAGUCCCCAAAACUUCAGUGGCUUACAACAGAGGCUUCUAUUUUGUUCCCUUCAGAUGUCCAUUGUGGGUCAGCUACCACGCCUGAUGCUAUCUUCACUCCAGACCCAUUCCAGUGUCCUCACAAAGGGGAGAAAAGAGACACAGAGGACCACAAGCUGGCCCUGAAGUCUCUGCUUAGAAGUGAUGCUGUCAUGUCUUCCUACGUUUUACUGGCCAAAGCAAGUCACAUGGCCACUCCAGAGCUCAAAGGGAUAGGACAACAGCCAGGACUGACAAGAUUUUUUAUUAGAGAAGUAGGAUGUUCCCAGCCUGGUCAACAUAGCAAGAACCCACCUCAAGAAAAAAUGCAAGGUGUUUACAGGACAGGUUGGAGAAGCUACACUGACCAGCCUGCAAAGGAUGUGUGCCCCAAACUUCAGUGCCACGAGACCUUCAAGACCAUCCCCUGAUCUCGUUAUUAGGCAGUGCUUCCCUCCGUCCUAUGAGCAUCCUGAACUCUCCUGAGGAAACAAUAACUGAGCCAGCCUGGGGGCCAGGGUUCCUCUAGGCCUGGUCCCCACCCUUAGAGUUCAGCCAGGGUCUCUUUCAGCUCCACUGUGGGAAGAAAUUUAAACCCACCAGCAACACUGAUCAUCACUGAAGAAACUGCACUUUACUUCAUUUGAUUCAGUGCUUCUCUUUCAGCCUUGGGCUGAUGGGAGUCAGGCCCACACACCCCCACAGAGAGUGCUCUUAUUGUCAGAGGGACAGGAGGCCCUGCUGCAGGGGCCUUUCCUUCCCUGCCUCCCAGCUGCGGAAGAGGCUUGCAUUGUACACUUUGCCAGCUGAGGGAAAGUGAGGGCAGACGGGUCAUUCCCAGGAACGAGCCAGUCCUUACGGCAGUCCAGCAGUCUUGGGGCUGGAGGGCAGAUUUCCACAGCGCACACAGAGGGAAACUGAGAGCACAGGGGCUAAGCUGUGGUCACACAGGGAGUCAGGGUGAAGCCACGGCCAGAGGCCAGGUCUGGGCUUUCCCUGGCACAAGGCAGCCGGGCAGGAUUUGUACUUCUCAGAAAUGGAACUGGCCGUGCAGGAAGUUGCCACGAAGGUAGACACCAGAAGGUGAGCAGAGUGAAACAGGCCCAAGGCUAGGCGAGCUUGGGUGGGUCUGAGCAAACAGGUCCAAGGAGCACCAGGAAUCAUAAAAGUAACUGACAUAGCUCACCAGCUCACUUUCUAGAACAGUUUAAGGAGUGCUUUUCACCAUGUUGUCUCCCGGCCCAAAGCAAAAUGCCUCACACAGAGAGCAAAUGCCAAGUCUAAGGCUGAGUUUCAUUCCAGAGCCCAGCCUCAGGGCAUUAGGCUGAUGGUGGAGAGGGUAGGGAAGGAAGCCUCACAGGGGGAAGCACACUAACACUCUGUCCCCUGGCUCCACCCACUCUUCCAUUAUUCCAAAAUGAAGUUCACUCUAUUGUUUUUUCCUUGGAAAAGUUACAUGCGUACGCUCCCCCAAGUACUUGGAAAUAUAAA
Molecule: long non-coding RNA, 1532 nt
Organism: Piliocolobus tephrosceles (Ugandan red Colobus)
Lineage: Eukaryota; Metazoa; Chordata; Mammalia; Primates; Cercopithecidae
Exons: 3
Source: RefSeq, a predicted model, not a curated record